This is a long non-coding RNA of Aegilops tauschii subsp. strangulata, 1332 nucleotides long. RefSeq lists it as uncharacterized. The record is from RefSeq and is a predicted model, not a curated record. NCBI's taxonomy places the organism in Eukaryota, Viridiplantae, Streptophyta, Magnoliopsida, Poales, Poaceae.
CAGACCCUACUUGUCUGUGAGUUAAAGAAAGAAAUCUCUACUAUCUAAAAGAAACGCAAGGUUCCGUUUCCCACCUUACGUCGCUCGUUUCGUCCAUCCUCCCUGCGGGUGCACUCGCGAUUGGUUUUAUCACAUCCUUCCUCACGUCGGUUUUGCAUUGAAGACCUUCCUAAAACAACCACGCUGAUUGAUUCCCCUUAACCUUAUCCCACCUCUGAUAUAGCCGCCGCCACAGUCUCCCCCAUCUCGCGAACGACUCCCCGUUCAUGAUCUCUCGCCAGCGACGCCCUAACGUCACCGUAGCGCAUGACACAGGGAUUCGUCGCUGCCGCCCGCAGCUAAUUUGCCCCUGGCGUCGAGGAGGGGGUCAGCAAGAGCUCAUGUCCUCCCGGUGCUGCCGCCGCUGGGCUCGUCUCGUCAGGAGGACACGGUGUCGAUGCCGCCGCCGGCGACGCCUCGUUCUUCUUGAGGUCAAUCAUGAGGGACUCCUGAUUUUUGAACAUGUGUGUUUCUUCUUGUGUUGCAGCCUGCAGGUCGUGCAGGUCGGGUAUGCUGCAGCCUGCGAGAUCCGAGGCGUGACGACAUCGGUGAUUAUGUUCACCGUGGCCCAAGGUUAAGCCAGAUCUGUGACGGAGGCAUGGCGCAGGAAACCUACGCCGCAUGGAGGCUACGGAGAUCCGUGGGAAGCUAUUGCUACCGCUUUCAGUGGCGUAGCGGAUGGCCGCUUUCAGUAACGCCUCGCAGAUGUUGCUCCAAAGAAGAAUGGAGAAGUUAACCAAAGUUAACCAAUAUUCAGUACUUUUUUUUGCGAAUAGUACUAAUAACAUUACCUGCAAGUGCAAGCAAGGUGAACCACCGGUGCUUUGGCAAAAGAAAAGCAACACGAUGCCAAAAGAUUGUAGAAUUACCAUUGCAUCACCCAUCUUCUGAAACAUACAUGUCCCCUGUAUCCUGCACUCCAUUCCGUUCCUGUGAGUUUCUUUUGUUCUGAAACAUACAUGUUCUCUGUGACUUUUUUUGCAGAUCCGCUGAUGAUAUGCUUGGGCGCCAGAUCUUCAUGAAUUGGUCAGUGAUUGUAUGAAUAUGAAUUUGUAGUCUGACUAAGUUCUUGUUGCUCAAUUAUAUGUGACCAUGUUGCAACUGUAUUUGCAUGUGACGUUGGUUUGGCCAAUAGACUUUUUUUUUAGAUUCCCUGCUGGACCUUUUGGUAGUGUAUUUAAUUUUGAUUGUGAUGGAGUGGGACUUAAACUUCAAAGUAUAUUUGCAUGUUAGUGUACCAAAAUCUUAACUGACAUUUUAUAUAUAAUGAGCAAAGAAACCUAUGAUCUCAAA